RNAcentral lists this ribosomal RNA (253 nucleotides) under uncultured bacterium. RNAcentral describes it as "partial 16S ribosomal RNA". It matches the Rfam family "Bacterial small subunit ribosomal RNA", at positions 524 to 776 of the family's 1533-position model. The record is from RNAcentral.
UACGUAGGGUGCGAGCGUUAAUCGGAAUUACUGGGCGUAAAGCGUGCGCAGGCGGUUUUGUAAGCCAGGUGUGAAAUCCCCGGGCUUAACCUGGGAACUGCGCUUGUGACUGCAAGACUCGAGUACGGCAGAGGGGGGUAGAAUUCCACGUGUAGCAGUGAAAUGCGUAGAGAUGUGGAGGAAUACCGAUGGCGAAGGCAGCCCCCUGGGUCGAUACUGACGCUCAUGCACGAAAGCGUGGGGAGCAAGCAGG